AUUGACAUUUGUGUCUGAUUAUACACUUCCCCUCUUUCUGGAAGAACUUUGGGUGGGCUAGUUGAGCCCAUUAGCUUCCUUCUUCCUGUGUCCCGGAUAAUUCCUGUUCAUCUCCUUGGUGCAAUUUCUGAGAAAGGUUUGAAUGGGUUUGGAGGAAAAUCAGUGACUAAAGCUCACAGUUUCUGCUUUGGGGACCUUUUCUAUAAAAGGCUCUUUGAUCUGGCAUGAAAAAUAGUUAGCAUAGUUCUCAAAUUCACAGAGAUAAUGAAUUCUUGCUGUUUUCUGGCAACAUAUUUUAAAAUGGCAUUGAGUAGACUUCUUUAAUAAAAAACCUCAAAUAAGACCCAACCAGGAAAUCAGACUUGGUAAGAUUCAUUCAUACAGUUGUAGAAGUUCUAAGUCAAAAAAAAAAAUCAUGAUUCUAUCUUUCCUCCCUUGGCUGCCUUAUUAGAUAUUUUUGGAGUGUACUCUAUUCCAUAUGCUAUUCAUGUUUUAGAGGAUAAAGCCUGGCUCUGCUUUUGGGUUGUAGUUCAUUAUGAAGCCUGAAAACAAGAGAAGUGUUUAAAAUAUGCAGCCACUUACAUAUACAGCAUUAGUGAUCUCAGCUGGCAGUUCUAUAUGGACAAGUGAUCUCACAGCUUAAAAAUAAGUAUGUAGCUAUAUUGAGGAUUUUUAAAAAUAGUGACCAGAUUUCUAAUCCUAGUAGUUCUUGGAGCAAGCCAUGGCUGAAAAUUCAGAUUGAAUAAUAUUCUAUAAUAUUCAGAAGGCUUUUCUAACCAACAGAAUGAAAAGCAAAACUACAGACAUGAGGGAGAACUGGACCAAGAGAAAAAAAUUAUUGGAUUCAUGGGAUUUUUGUUCUUAUCCUGAAAUUUAAAUCUUUGUACUCUUACUUUGUCUUGUUUGUGACAAGCCAGAUAUGAGUGGUUCGUGACAUUUCUACCAGCUGGUUCAGAGGUUGUGGACAUGGCUACAUUUCAUCAUAUAAACCUUUAUUUAAAGGAGCUGGUGCUAGAGUAAUAGUUUAUGGAAGCAAUUUGCUAUCAAUAGUCACAAGUACUAAAUUUAUUUUAGCUCCUUUUUCUGUGAUUUUAUUAAUUGGAACAGUUCUCUCUCCAAGGGAUCUUUUGCAUUUUGGACAUGAUCUCUGUUGGAUAGAAUCAAGUGAUAGUCAUGGGAUUUUCUGAAUUUGAUCUCACAGUAUCUGGUUUAGUUGAUAAAUUCCAUCAGCUUUGCAAACAUUGAUUCAACUUGUCCUGCCAAAUUUUCCCUUCCCUGUCCACUUUCUGAGUGCCUUUUUCUUGCAUCAACUAUCUAUUAGGCAAAGGCAUUUCGAGUGUUUCUGUACAGCAGGCACAUUUAAGAGUCUCCUGAAAGGGGACUUCUGUCGUGGCGCAGUGGUUAACAAUCCUCCUGCCAAUGCAGGGGACACGGGUUCGAGCCCUGAUCCGGGAAGAUCCGGCAUGCCUCAGAGCAACUAAGCCCGUGCGCCACAACUACUGAGCCUGCAUACCACAACUACUGAGCCCACGAGCUACGACUACUGAAGCCCACGCGUCUAGAGCCCGUGCUCCGCAACAAGAGAAGCCACCGCAAUAAGAAGCCCGCGCACCGCAACGAAGAGUAGCCCCUGCUCACCGCAACUAGAGAAAGCCCGUGAACAGCAACGAAGACCCAACACAGCCACAAAUAAAAAAAAGUCUCCUGAAAUAAAGGGGGAGAAUAUGCCAAGAUUAGAAAUAUAACAGAGGGAGAGAGAGGUGACAUUUCUAAUAAUUCAUAAGCCCAACUGCUUAAUCUCUUUAAAUCGUUAGUCAUGUGCAUCAGUUCUUACAUUCCUAACUAAAACAGAAAAAAGUUCACUCUUCCUCUGCUCUCAGUAUUCCCCUCAUGUAAGACAGCGUACCCAGCAAGUGACGGCUGGUUUAUUUCCUUUUCCCUAGCAUUUCAGAUUGAUUGACGGGGAUUUUUUAUUCAAAUCAGGGCCACCCCAUGGCAGUGUUUUUUGAGGCAGCCCAUUUGGCAUGUUCCCUCCAACUGUGAGGACAAAGCCUGAUUUGUCUUCCCAUGACCUGGCAGAGGAGGUAGAAGUACCUGCUGGCUUCAUGUAGCACGUCCCCUAGCCAGUAUUCCACCUCUUCACGUGGUGAGUCAGCCCGAUGGUAUACUGACUUCUAUAACACAGCAGGGUGGAGACCUGGAAGUCCCUAAGCCGGUCGGGGAGGAGGGAAUGGUUUGCGUGUCAAACCUUCCAGCAAUGCAGCUUACAGGGAAAAAUUGCAAAAUACUGAAGCCCUUUGCCGCCAGAUUUUUCCAUUAGCACCACACUUUACACAGUUUUCAAAUCUGCCUCAGGGACAGCUGUUUGGCAAUGUGAGGGGAAAAGGUCACGUCACAUCAUAAGCUCUGUGGUUGGUUACCUGUCAGCCUGUCCUGCAAGGAAUCCCAGCAGGCCCUGAGCAAUGCCUUCUAAACGCUCAUUCAUCACACACACACACAAGGAGCCGUGGAUUCUCCAAAGGGGGUGCUCGGAAAUUAUUUGAGAACUGGAAGACAGUGCUGGAACUUACACCACCUCAGGAUACUGAUUUUAAAUGAAGAAAUCCAAGACAGAAAAGCUUCCGGAAAGAAUCCUUGCAUUCCUGGAAUAAACCCAACUUGAUCAUGGUGUAUGAAUGGGAGAAAAUAUUUGCAAAUGAAGCAACUGACAAAGGAUUAAUCUCGAAAAUUUACAAGCAGCUCAUGCAGCUCAGUAACAAACAAACAAACAACCCAAUCCAAAAAUGGGCAGAAGACCUAAAUAGACAUUUCUCCAGAGAAGAUAUACAGAUUGCCAACAAACAUAUGAAAGAACGCUCAACAUCAUUUAUCAUUAGAGAAAUGCAAAUCAAAACUACAAUGAGAUAUCAUCUGAUACCACUCAGAAUGGCCAUCAUCAAAAAAUCUAGAAACAAUAAAUGCUGGAGAGGGUGUGGAGAAAAGAGAACACUUGCACUGCUGGUGGGAAUGUGAAUUAGUACAGCCACUAUGGAGAACAGUAUGGAGGUUCCUUAAAAAACUACAAAUAGAACUACCAUAUGACCCAGCGAUCCCACUACUGGGCAUAUACCCUGAGAAAACCAUAAUUCAAAAAGAGUCGUGUACCACAAUGUUCACUGCAGCUCUGUUUACAAUAGCCAGGACAUGGAAGCAACCUAAGUGUCCAUCAACAGAUGAAUGGAUAAAGAAGAUGUGGCACAUAUAUACAAUGGAAUAUUACUCAGCCAUAAAAAGAAACGAAAUUGAGUUAUUUGUAGUGAGGUGGAUGGACCUAGAGUCUGUCAUACAGAGUGAAGUAAGUCAGAAGGAGAAAAACAAAUACCGUAUGCUAACAUAUAUGUGGACUAAGAGAAAAAAAAAAAGGUCAUGAAGUACCUAGGGGUAAGAUGGGAGUAAAGACACAGACCUACUAGAGAAUGGACUUGAGGAUAUGGGGAGGGAGAAGGGUAAGCUGUGACAAAGUGAGAAAGUGGCAUGGACAUAUAUACACUACCAAACGUAAGGUAUAUAGCUAGUGGGAAGCAGCCGCAUAGCACAGGGAGAUCAGCUCGGUGCUUUGUGACCACCUAGAGGGGUGGGAGGGAGGGUGGGAGGGAGGGAGACGCAAGAGGGAAGAGAUAUGGGAACAUAUGUAUAUGUAUAACUGAUUCACUUUGUUAUAAAGCAGAAACUAACACACCAUUGUAAAGCAAUUAUACUCCAAUAAAGAUGUUUAAAAAAAAAAAAGAGGGAGGGGAUAUGGGGACAUAUGUAUGCAUAUGGCUGAUUCACUUUGGUGUACAACAGAAACUAACACAGUAUUGUGAAGCAAUUAUACUCCAAUAAAGAUCUAGUAAAAAAAUAAAAUAAAAAUAGAGACCUGGGAAUUCC
Orcinus orca (killer whale) is the source of this 3909-nucleotide long non-coding RNA. RefSeq lists it as uncharacterized. The transcript is spliced from 2 exons. Lineage: Eukaryota; Metazoa; Chordata; Mammalia; Artiodactyla; Delphinidae. The record is from RefSeq and is a predicted model, not a curated record.